GUUAUUACAUUUUUUUACCUUUAGCAAUGCCUUUACAGUAGCGUAUCUAAGUACUUUUAGUUAUUUAAGUAGAUUAUUACAAAAAUACGUAUAUUUUCUUAUUUGCUGGCGUUUUUGAUUGUGAAAUUAGACUUAUCCUCAGUUAGACCUCAGGCAAAACCGAUCUACGUUUUAAGUCAAUUAUUUUAAGUAUUUGUCCAUUUCGCUGUUACAGUUGGUGGUAAAAAAUGCUCAGGGUUUUGGAACCCUUUACACUUUUACCCACACUUACCUAUACACCCACACACACACAAUUCACAGACGAGUACAUAUCUGGUGUUUUAAAUAGAGGAAAAUAAACCUUGGAAAAUUUUUCCUUUAGCGUUCCUAUAAAUACUGAGCUUAGACAAUGAUCGAUUUCACUCUUGAAUUUGAAAAAUCAAACUAACGUGUGUCCAAAUUUGUUCUGAUGAUUUUGAUAAGAGAAAUAUUAUGAUCGUCGAAUUAACUGAUCGAAGGCAAAUAAGACCAAAUUCUGAGCCUCAAAUAAAUAGUACCAUUUUUGCUGGGGCUUUAUCAUACAGGUUUUCUUCUAGUUUGUACCGCCACCCAAAAAAUGUUUUAGGUAAAUGAACCUCCAGACCAGCUGAGGGACUAGAGAAGGUCCUACCUAGUCCCGCGAUUGGCAGUUUGGCUGGCCCCUCAAAUUUGAUUUUGCCCAAAAUCAUACAAGAUAAACUAGCCCUUCUCAAGAAGCCCUUCCCUCAAAACAACAGAAACGGCAUUGGAAAAAGAAGUUGGAAUUAACCACAUAGUAAGACAAUCCUCAUCUUCUGAUCUCUCAAUAGUUGGAUAUUUAUUAUCUCAAGAAAGUCGUCAAAGUAUCAGAAAAAGAAAGAAGUAUGUUAAUGAGGCAUUAUAAUGAUAUUAUGUAGAAAUUUAAGUCUUGUAAAAAUUUGGAAA
Molecule: long non-coding RNA, 942 nt
Organism: Sitophilus oryzae (rice weevil)
Lineage: Eukaryota; Metazoa; Arthropoda; Insecta; Coleoptera; Curculionidae
Exons: 7
Source: RefSeq, a predicted model, not a curated record